Molecule: long non-coding RNA, 352 nt
Filed under: Elaeis guineensis (African oil palm)
Lineage: Eukaryota; Viridiplantae; Streptophyta; Magnoliopsida; Arecales; Arecaceae
Description: long non-coding RNA (EGUI_LNC037413)
Source: RNAcentral
GGGACCAUGUGGAGGGCGAGGGGAGCUCCUUGACUGCGUCCCCGCCCGCGGAGAGGGAGGAAGGUCGCCCCAAUAACCCACAGAAUGCUAAUGGAAGAAGGCUUCGGAGGAGCCAAAGAAUAAGGGCUAGGGGCCGGGCGGCGAGGUCCGGGCGAAUUUGAGAGCUUUUCAAUCUAUUGAUGCAGGACUGAAGGGCAAAUAUAAUAAGAGCUUCAUAUACCAUAAGUUCUUUGCCUGUCUUAUUGUGCUUGUACAUGAGUAACGAUUGGAACUUAUGUCUCUCAUGGAUGAUGAAUGCAAGCACAUGCGUAUCCUUAUAAUAUCCCUUGGGUUUAUCUAUCUAUAUAUAUAU